AGGACGAACGCUGGCGGCGUGCUUAACACAUGCAAGUCGAGCGGAAAGGCCCUUCGGGGUACUCGAGCGGCGAACGGGUGAGUAACACGUGAGUAAUCUGCCCCUAGCUCUGGGAUAGCUCCGGGAAAACCGGGAUUAAUACCAGAUACGACCACUUUAGACAUCUGUUGUGGUGGAAAGAAUUUUGGCUAGGGAUGAGCUCGCGGCCUAUCAGCUUGCUGGUGAGGUAAUGGCCUCCCAAGGCGACGAUCGGUAGCUGGUCUGAGAGGACGAUCAGCCACACUGGGAUUGAGAACGGCCCAGACUCCUACGGGGGCAGCAGUGAGGAAUUUUCCGCAAUGGACGAAAGUCUGACGGAGCAACGCCGCGUGCAGGAGGAAGGUUUUCGGAUCGUAAACUGCUUUUCUCGGGGACGAGCAAGGACGGUACCGAGGAAGAAGCCCCGGCUAACUACGUGCCAGCAGCCGC
This 468-nucleotide ribosomal RNA is filed under the name uncultured bacterium. RNAcentral's name for it is "SSU rRNA". It matches the Rfam family "Bacterial small subunit ribosomal RNA", at positions 26 to 518 of the family's 1533-position model. The record is from RNAcentral.